CCCGUUAAUUUGAACAGGUGCUGUCGUUGGGGCUCCUGUUGUUCUGGGAGUAGUAGGAGCCGUAGGUUUCACCUCAGCUGGAAUAGCAGCAGGCUCCUAUGCUGCUGGCAUGAUGUCGGCUGCUGCAGUUGCUAACGGAGGAGCAGUGGCAGCAGGAAGUACAGUGGCUGUUUUGCAGGCAGCAGGUGCAGCUGGUCUGUCAGGAGCUGCCACUGCAGCUGCGACUGGAGCUGGAGCAGCAGUGGGAUGGCUGGCUGCCAUAAUUAUCUAAAAAAUCAAGAUGGAACAAGAUGAAGAUUUUUACUUUUGCCAAGUGAAGGAGGCAACUGCAAAUUAUAUCAGUUCACUUAAAAAACAGCACUUUUGUCUUAUCAGGCAACUGAAAUGUUUUGUGCAAUAAAUCUGUGUGACCUGUGAAAGAUA
Long non-coding RNA from Perca fluviatilis (European perch), 423 nucleotides. RefSeq lists it as uncharacterized. The transcript is spliced from 4 exons. Lineage: Eukaryota; Metazoa; Chordata; Actinopteri; Perciformes; Percidae. The record is from RefSeq and is a predicted model, not a curated record.